GAUGAACGCUGGCGGCGUGCUUAACACAUGCAAGUCGAACGAAGAUGCCGGAGUGCUUGCACUUUGGCAGGCUGAGUGGCGGACGGGUGAGUAACGCGUGGGUAACCUGCCUUAUACAGGGGGAUAACAGUUGGAAACGACUGCUAAUACCGCAUAAGCGCACGGUAUCGCAUGAUACAGUGUGAAAAACUCCGGUGGUAUAAGAUGGACCCGCGUCUGAUUAGCUAGUUGGUGAGGUAACGGCCCACCAAGGCGACGAUCAGUAGCCGGCCUGAGAGGGUGAACGGCCACAUUGGGACUGAGACACGGGCCCAAAACUCCGUACGGGAGGCAGCAGUGGGAAUAUUGCACAAGUGGGGGAAACCCUGAUGCAGCGACGCCGCGUGAGUGAUGAAGUAUUUCGGUAUGUAAAACUCUAUCAGCAGGGAAG
RNAcentral lists this ribosomal RNA (430 nucleotides) under uncultured bacterium. RNAcentral's name for it is "bacterial SSU rRNA". It matches the Rfam family "Bacterial small subunit ribosomal RNA", at positions 28 to 447 of the family's 1533-position model. The record is from RNAcentral.